This is an RNA transcript of Coregonus clupeaformis (lake whitefish), 877 nucleotides long. It is a transcript of the gene named GPN-loop GTPase 3-like, with no coding region annotated. The record is from RefSeq and is a predicted model, not a curated record. Lineage: Eukaryota; Metazoa; Chordata; Actinopteri; Salmoniformes; Salmonidae. The transcript has 4 exons.
CGCAAAACGAUACCCGUAGUUAGCGAAAGUCUUCUGUCUGCAAGCAUGUUGGCUGUGAAUUUACCCGCAGUCAUUGUUUUGCUAAAUUACUCUUGAAGAUUUAAGCGACACCUUUUUUUGGGAUAGGAUAGCAAAAAUGCCUCGUUAUGCUCAAAUGGUGAUGGGCCCGGCAGGAAGUGGAAAGAGUACCUACUGCUCUACCCUGAUCCAUCAUGCGGAAGCCAUAAACCGCUCUGUACAGGUGGUCAACCUAGACCCAGCCGCUGAAUACUUUGAUUACCCGGUCAUGGCAGAUAUCCGGGAGCUCAUCAUGGUGGAUGACGUGAUGGAGGAUGAGUCACUGAGGUUCGGCCCAAAUGGAGGGCUGGUGUUCUGCAUGGAGUACUUUGCCAACAACUUUGACUGGCUGGAGGAGAGCCUGGGUCAAGUGUAGGACGACUACAUACUGUUUGACUGUCCUGGUAAGGUGCUUUUCAUAGAGGGGGGCAAGGAACGUGAUCUGGAUGAUGAUGAUGGAGGUUAAGUGAACAUGGUGAAUAAUAUGGAUCUGAUUUUGAUGUUGACCAUGAUGAUGAUAGUGAUGGUGGUUGAGAAGUUUGUGAUGUGGUGAGAAUGGUAUUGACGACGAUGAUGACGGUGUUAGUGAUGUCUUCAGGUCAAAUAGAGCUCUACACACACCUCCCUGUGAUGAGGCAGCUGGUAGAGCAGCUCCAGCAGUGGGAAUUCCCUGUCUGUGGCGUCUUCCUGGUGGACUCACAGUUCAUGGUGGAGACCUUCAAGGUACCUGGACCCUGACAUGUACUCAAUGAUGGAGGACAACUCUGUCACCAUUAGGAGCAAGAAGUUCAAGAAGCUGACCAAAGCCAUCUGUGGUUUG